Molecule: long non-coding RNA, 1398 nt
Filed under: Macaca mulatta (Rhesus monkey)
Lineage: Eukaryota; Metazoa; Chordata; Mammalia; Primates; Cercopithecidae
Description: lncRNA (ENSMMUG00000051587.1)
Source: RNAcentral
UCUUACUGUGUCUAUGCUGCAUUAAAACAGGAAAAAGAAACAGGGGCCAUCCAUUCUAACAAUGUAUUUUAUUCAACUCUCUGUUUAAAAUGCUAUCUCAAUCUAUGAUUAAUGUAAAAUUGUGAAUGUGAUACCGUGCUUCCUUUUCACCCCGAGUCUUUGACAUGUGGUAUGAUUUUGACACUGGUAGCCUAUCUGUGACAGCUUCCUUGUAUCGUGUGCCUGGUGGCCUCCUGUGACUGGCAGCCGCCGUGUGGGACAUGCAGGUCUGAGGGUGAGAUGGGGCUGGGCGAGGGGCAGCGAUGCUCAGGUGGCUCCUGGGAGGGUGUGGUCCUGAUGAAGAGAAGCAAGGCCAGCCUCCUCCGAGAGGGAGGGCACUGUGUUUCAGAUGGAUGAGUGGCCUCCUCCUGGGCGAGCUAGCUGUGGGGCCGUGUUUCCUGGAAGAAGCCGUCAUCUCUGGGGAGAGCGGCAGAACUCGAGGGAGCCACCUCAGCCUCCCCAGAGCCCGCAGCCGCAUAGGAAGCCCCUUCCCACUGGGCUCUGCGCUCCUGCACGAGGGUUCUUGCUUCAGGAAGAAAGUGGGUGUCGCUUCGCUCCUGUGGGGCAGAGAGACGGGGCUGUGAGAAGUGAGUUGUGGAGGUGGGUGAGGCUGGAGGCCCACACAGCUCCAGGGGCGUAAGCUCCACGCCCCCAAAUAAAGAAACCUGGACCCUUCCUGUAAGUCUCUCUGACUCCUGCAAUGCUGGGUGUAGGAACGUUUGCUUGACCGUCCAGGUAGGAGAAUCAUGUUAAAAAUGGCCAUUUUUCUACCAAAAAGCAGGAGUAGACCUGCUGUAAACUUGAUAGCUAUGGGAUCUUGUCUGUGUCUCAUCUUUUUUUUUUUUUUUUUUUUGGAGACAGAGUCUCACUCUGUCACCCAGGCUGGAGUGCAGUGGUGCCAUCUCAGCUCACUGCAACCUCUGCCUUCCGGGUUCAAGCGAUUCUCCCGCCUCAGCCUCCUGAGUAGCUGAGAUUACAGGCGCCCGCCACGCCCGGCUACAUUUUUGUAUUUUUAGUAGAGACGGGGUUUCGCCAUGUUGGUCAGGCUGGUCUUGAACUCCUGAACUCGUGAUCUGCCUGCCUCGGCCUCCCAAACACUUUGGGGGGCCAAGGUGGGUGGAUCACCUGAGGUCAGGAGUUCAAGACCAGCCUGACCAAUAUGGUGAAACCGUGUCUCUACUAAAAAUACAAAAAUUAGCUGGGCUGUGGUGGCAUGUGCCUAUAAUUCCAGCUACUCAGGAGGCUGAGGGAGAAUUGCUUGAACCCAGGAGGCAGAGGUUGCAAUGAGCCAAGAUUGUGCCAUUGCACUCCAGCUUGGGUGAGAGAGGGAGACCCUGUGCCAAAAAAAAAAAAAAAAAA